Molecule: ribosomal RNA, 1061 nt
Filed under: Microcystis aeruginosa AWQC-MIC348
Lineage: Bacteria; Bacillati; Cyanobacteriota; Cyanophyceae; Chroococcales; Microcystaceae
Description: bacterial SSU rRNA
Rfam family: Bacterial small subunit ribosomal RNA
Source: RNAcentral
GGAAACGACUGCUAAUACCCGAUGUGCCGCAAGGUGAAAUCUAAUUGGCCUGGAGAAGAGCUUGCGUCUGAUUAGCUAGUUGGUGGGGUAAGAGCCUACCAAGGCGACGAUCAGUAGCUGGUCUGAGAGGAUGAGCAGCCACGCUGGGACUGAGACACGGCCCAGACUCCUACGGGAGGCAGCAGUGGGGAAUUUUCCGCAAUGGGCGAAAGCCUGACGGAACAACGCCGCGUGAGGGAGGAAGGUCUUUGGAUUGUAAACCUCUUUUCUCAAGGAAAAAGUUCUGACGGUACUUGAGGAAUCAGCCUCGGCUAACUCCGUGCCAGCAGCCGCGGUAAUACGGGGGAGGCAAGCGUUAUCUGGAAUUAUUGGGCGUAAAGCGUCCGCAGGUGGUCAGCCAAGUCUGCCGUCAAAUCAGGUUGCUUAACGACCUAAAGGCGGUGGAAACUGGCAGACUAGAGAGCAGUAGGGGUAGCAGGAAUUCCCAGUGUAGCGGUGAAAUGCGUAGAGAUUGGGAAGAACAUCGGUGGCGAAAGCGUGCUACUGGGCUGUAUCUGACACUCAGGGACGAAAGCUAGGGGAGCGAAAGGGAUUAGAUACCCCUGUAGUCCUAGCCGUAAACGAUGGAUACUAGGCGUGGCUUGUAUCGACCCGAGCCGUGCCGAAGCUAACGCGUUAAGUAUCCCGCCUGGGGAGUACGCACGCAAGUGUGAAACUCAAAGGAAUUGACGGGGGCCCGCACAAGCGGUGGAGUAUGUGGUUUAAUUCGAUGCAACGCGAAGAACCUUACCAAGACUAGACAUGUUGCGAACCCUGGUGAAAGCUGGGGGUGCCUUCGGGAGCGCGAACACAGGUGGUGCAUGGCUGUCGUCAGCUUGUGUUGUGAGAUGUUGGGUUAAGUCCCGCAACGAGCGCAACCCUCGUUUUUAGUUGCCAGCAUUAAGUUGGGGACUCUAAGGAGACUGCCGGUGACAAACCGGAGGAAGGUGGGGAUGACGUCAAGUCAGCAUGCCCCUUACGUCUUGGGCGACACACGUGCUACAAUGGUCGGGACAAAGGGC